Mauremys mutica (yellowpond turtle) is the source of this 544-nucleotide long non-coding RNA. RefSeq lists it as uncharacterized. The record is from RefSeq and is a predicted model, not a curated record. NCBI's taxonomy places the organism in Eukaryota, Metazoa, Chordata, Testudines, Geoemydidae. The transcript is spliced from 3 exons.
CUUUGCUUGGGGAAGGGAAGCAACAGAGGAGUGGAGCUCCUCUGCUGAGCUCUUAUAACAAGCAGCCAGGUGUUCAGAAAGGGAGCGGACUAGAAACUGGAAGUUGCCAGGAUCAGUGUGCUGGUGACCCUGAAACCUGAGAGCAAAGAGAAUGCCCUGGCUGCAGUCAGGUUUGUUGCACUGCACCCAGGGCAGGAAGCAUUGGCGAGUGCCUUCCCUGGUUCCUGCCCCACAAACCACCCUGUGGCUGAUACUCAGCAUGUGCAGUACUUCCUUCCCUGGCUGCAGCCCCACAAACCUGCCUGAGGCUGGGGACCUGCUGCCUUCCUACGAGGUGCUGAAGAAAUCAGUUCUCGCGCUUGAUUCUGUUUCCCUUGCCAUUUGGCUGCCAAAUCUACACCUCAGUAACAAGACUCUUCUUGAAGGCCAUGGAAAGUGUUUGUUAAUUUUCAGCACCUUUUGAGCCAAUGUAAGACAUUGCUGCACUGCAGUGUGGUGUGUCCUGACCGCUACUUCGAAUUUGGAACAUUGUAUAAAACUGGUA